AUGGCCGGCAGACGGGCAGCAAAAAAGGUUCUGGUGCUGCACACCAACAUGAACUUCGACCAGCAGAGGACCAACUGGGUGAUGCACCAGUACCACCUCGGGGACCUGGAGCAAGAGAAGGAGCGGGAGCUAGUCCUCUGCAAGAUUUUCUACCAGACGAACACUAGGGCUAGGAGUAAAAAGACUAUAAGUCGAGCAAGUUUCAACUGGGUUGUAGACUUCCCAGGUUUGGUUUUGUUUUUAACAGGCCCAGCCCAUGAUGAUAAUGGGGCACAAAGAUCCAGCAGGUAUCUACUGGCCUCUGGCCCGCCAGCGUGA
RNAcentral lists this ribosomal RNA (318 nucleotides) under Triticum aestivum (bread wheat). RNAcentral's name for it is "partial small subunit ribosomal RNA". The record is from RNAcentral. Lineage: Eukaryota; Viridiplantae; Streptophyta; Magnoliopsida; Poales; Poaceae.